UUGUAAGUGAUGAAAACUAGAGACUGUUCCAGCAGAGGCCUCACAAAUGUUGAAAAGAAUGCUUCCACUCAGCAUUGGCUACCCCUACAGCCAUUAUGCUCCAGUGUUUGGUCCAGGGAUUUUCUUUGACCAUUUCCUGAUAGGAAUGAAGAAUGAAAGCAAGAACUACAACACAAGUUCUUCCCAUCAAUUCCAAGCAAUGUACCUGCAGUGUAUAUUGGGUUUCCAUAUCAGAGCGCAUACUGUUAAUGUGGGUGCCAUCUUUGUUGUCCCAGACAUCAACCUGACUUCCUUCAAUUUUCUUCAUCCUGGGCUGAAGAAACCAUGUCUGAUUGUACCCAGUCCUGCAGGAUCUUCUUUGCUUUUCAAAGAACAAUGGAUUGUUUUUGUGGAGAAAAAAAAAAAUACAACAAAUUUUCCAAAACACAGAAACUGUGUGUUCUGUUGGUUGAAAAUCAUCCCAACAAGUUGACAAUUCAGGGUUUAUGAAUAAGCCAUGGGUGACAGACAUUCAAGGGGAUGUAAAUUUGCUAACUUUGAGGUGAUUCAUAACAACAGUCUUUUCUACAAGACAGAUAUUUCUUGUCAUCUGUGGCUUAAUGGUAGAAAGUACUUCCUUCUGUUCCUAUGUAAUCAUCAAGAGGCAAAACUGAAACUUGUUCUUAUUGCUUCACAAUAUUUUGACAGAGCAGCAGACUCAAAAUGCUUUAUGUUUUAACAACUUAUAGCGACACAGAAUGAAAUUACAUAAUGACAUUCAUAGAGACUGUGCUGUGCCAUCUCAGUUUUUGUGUUUCCUAUAACAUCCACAUUCCUUAUGGUGUGAGAGUAAAAGAGCAUUUAAGUUGAAGCCCAAAUGUUUUCCUUCAGUGAGAAAUUCAUUUCCCACUUUCAAUGAAGUCACUGAAUGAAUGGCUUUGAAAAGCACUUCUAGUAGCCGCUUGGCUCACAUCCCUGACUUCAGAACACUAACUGCAGCCUAUCCUAUUAAUUUCUGGGAGCAAGUAGCAACCAGCACAUUAGGGAGAGAGAGGAAUGAAUGAAGCUGCAGCAUAUUUCCAAGCUGAAGUUACUUUCUAGUACAGAUUAUCUUGUCUCAGGGCUUCUGAAAAGGUUUUGAAAGGACAUCAAAACAAAACUGAAACAUUUUUGGAAGGAAUAAUGUUUUGGGCAAUUUAUAAUGAGUUAUUGGAAUGAAAGUGCAAUGUUACUUUUUUUUUUUUUUUUUUCCCAAAACUGUCUGGUGUCUGCAUUGGUGUAAGAGUGACUAAAUUUUUGCGUGGGGGAGGGGAAAGGAAAAGGUUCUAUUCCAGUUUAAAUGUUCUUGACCUUCAUUGGCUCGACCCAAGCAAUCUGUGAAUGAAAAGUUUACAUGGAAAUCUGAUUGCAGUAUUAAGUUUCAGGAAAAAAAAAUAGCUAAUUAUUUUAUGUUUUCUUAUUUAUAAGUUACUGUGAGUAAUUGUGUUACAAAGAAAACAGGAUUCAUCACUCAUUAAAUGAGAUUACCUUACCUAGAAAUUGUUGACAGUGCUUUUAGAAACCAUUACCAAUUUUGUAAUAAGCUCCUUUAUUCCCAUUCAAAAGGUGCAUCAUGAAGAUUCUCCAAGAAGCUCUGUCUAGAGACAUCUAUAAAAAUGAGAUUGAAAAGAUUGAUAAGUACUCUCUAUUUUUUUCAUAUUUAUGUUAUUUAGUAUUAAAAUAAUUUUUACAGUAUGAAUUUCUACUUUUUCCAUAUAAGAUGUUAAUAAGUCAUAUUUCACCCCUUCAAUUAUGCAACAUCACAACUACUUUUUUUUUUUUUUUUUUUU
Molecule: long non-coding RNA, 1808 nt
Organism: Lagopus muta (rock ptarmigan)
Lineage: Eukaryota; Metazoa; Chordata; Aves; Galliformes; Phasianidae
Exons: 2
Source: RefSeq, a predicted model, not a curated record